RNAcentral lists this unclassified non-coding RNA (367 nucleotides) under uncultured fungus. RNAcentral describes it as "sequence contains ITS2". The stretch from base 1 to 52 matches the Rfam family "5.8S ribosomal RNA", at positions 103 to 154 of the family's 154-position model. The record is from RNAcentral. Lineage: Eukaryota; Fungi.
AACGCAUAUUGCGCUCUCUGGUAUUCCGGAGAGCAUGCUUGUUUGAGUAUCAGUAAACCCCCUCAAAUCUUUUUUUUUUGUGAAAAAGAUUUGGAUUUGAGCGAUCCUAACGUAUUUUUUUUUUUUUUAAAAAAUAAUAUGGCAGGUCUCUUGAAAUAAAGGUACAGCUGAACUUUCUUCUGAGCUAAAAGCAUAUUUAUUUAGUCCUGCUUUGCGGCUGGAUUAUUACUUUUGCUGCAGCUAACAUAAAGGUUGAUUGUUCUUAUGCUGACUGGUACAGGAAAUUUAUCAGUGAAGCGUGUGUGCAAGCGCGUGCGAAACUGUGAAUCUCGAUCUCAAAUCAAGUAAGACUACCCGCUGAACUUAA